CCUACGGGGGGCUGCAGUGGGGAAUAUUGCACAAUGGGGGAAACCCUGAUGCAGCGACGCCGCGUGAGUGAAGAAGUAUUUCGGUAUGUAAAGCUCUAUCAGCAGGGAAGAUAAUGACGGUACCUGACUAAGAAGCCCCGGCUAACUACGUGCCAGCAGCCGCGGUAAUACGUAGGGGGCAAGCGUUAUCCGGAUUUACUGGGUGUAAAGGGAGCGUAGACGGCAGCACAAGUCUGGAGUGAAAUGCCGGGGCUUAACCCCGGAACUGCUUUGGAAACUGUGCAGCUAGAGUGCAGGAGAGGUAAGUGGAAUUCCUAGUGUAGCGGUGAAAUGCGUAGAUAUUAGGAGGAACACCAGUGGCGAAGGCGGCUUACUGGACUGUAACUGACGUUGAGGCUCGAAAGCAUGGGGAGCAAACAGGAUUAGAUACCCUAGUAGUC
RNAcentral lists this ribosomal RNA (440 nucleotides) under uncultured bacterium. Its description in RNAcentral is "partial 16S ribosomal RNA". It matches the Rfam family "Bacterial small subunit ribosomal RNA", at positions 338 to 795 of the family's 1533-position model. The record is from RNAcentral.